RNAcentral lists this ribosomal RNA (590 nucleotides) under Flavobacterium sp. B472_2. RNAcentral's name for it is "bacterial SSU rRNA". It matches the Rfam family "Bacterial small subunit ribosomal RNA", at positions 167 to 755 of the family's 1533-position model. The record is from RNAcentral. Lineage: Bacteria; Pseudomonadati; Bacteroidota; Flavobacteriia; Flavobacteriales; Flavobacteriaceae.
UACCUCAUAGUAUAGCAGUUUCGCAUGAAACCACUAUUAAAGUCACAACGGUGAAAGAUGAGCAUGCGUCCCAUUAGCUAGUUGGUAAGGUAACGGCUUACCAAGGCAACGAUGGGUAGGGGUCCUGAGAGGGAGAUCCCCCACACUGGUACUGAGACACGGACCAGACUCCUACGGGAGGCAGCAGUGAGGAAUAUUGGACAAUGGGCGCAAGCCUGAUCCAGCCAUGCCGCGUGCAGGAUGACGGUCCUAUGGAUUGUAAACUGCUUUUAUACGAGAAGAAACCCUCCGACGUGUCGGAGCUUGACGGUAUCGUAAGAAUAAGGAUCGGCUAACUCCGUGCCAGCAGCCGCGGUAAUACGGAGGAUCCAAGCGUUAUCCGGAAUCAUUGGGUUUAAAGGGUCCGUAGGCGGUCAGGUAAGUCAGUGGUGAAAGCCCAUCGCUCAACGGUGGAACGGCCAUUGAUACUGUCUGACUUGAAUUAUUAGGAAGUAACUAGAAUAUGUAGUGUAGCGGUGAAAUGCUUAGAGAUUACAUGGAAUACCAAUUGCGAAGGCAGGUUACUACUAAUGGAUUGACGCUGAUGGACG